RNAcentral lists this ribosomal RNA (677 nucleotides) under Arxiozyma pintolopesii. RNAcentral's name for it is "LSU rRNA". It matches the Rfam family "Eukaryotic large subunit ribosomal RNA", at positions 235 to 929 of the family's 3401-position model. Lineage: Eukaryota; Fungi; Ascomycota; Saccharomycetes; Saccharomycetales; Saccharomycetaceae. The record is from RNAcentral.
UGCGGCUCCGUGUAAGGGCUGCUCGAAAAGUCGAGUUGUUUGGGAAUGCAGCUCUAAGUGGGUGAUAAAUUCCAUCUAAAGCUAAAUACUGGCGAGAGACCGAUAGCGAACAAGUACAGUGAUGGAAAGAUGAAAAGAACUUUGAAAAGAGAGUGAAAAAGUACGUGAAAUUGUUGAAAGGGAAGGGCAUUUGAUCAGACAUGGUGUUUUGCGCCCCCUGCUCCUUGUGGGGGGGAGGACUCUCGCAGCUCACUGGGCCAGCAUCAGUUUUUGCGGCCGGACAAAGCCGGAGGAAUGUGGCUUCCCCCGGGAAGUGUUAUAGCCUACGGGAACGCGGCCAGCGGGGACUGAGGGAACCCGGACUUUUGUCAAGGAUGCUGGCAUAAUGGUUAUAUGCCGCCCGUCUUGAAACACGGACCAAGGAGUCUAACGUCUAUGCGAGUGUUUGGGUGUAAAACCCGUACGCGGAAUGAAAGUGAACGUAGGUUGGGGCCCCCCGGGGUGCACAAUCGACCGAUCCUGAUGUUUUCGGAUGGAUUUGAGUAGGAGCAUAGCUGUUGGGACCCGAAAGAUGGUGAACUAUGCCUGAAUAGGGUGAAGCCAGAGGAAACUCUGGUGGAGGCUCGUAGCGGUUCUGACGUGCAAAUCGAUCGUCGAAUUUGGGUAUAGGGCGAAAG